This 694-nucleotide ribosomal RNA is filed under the name Campylobacter jejuni. Its description in RNAcentral is "bacterial SSU rRNA". It matches the Rfam family "Bacterial small subunit ribosomal RNA", at positions 1 to 649 of the family's 1533-position model. The record is from RNAcentral. Lineage: Bacteria; Pseudomonadati; Campylobacterota; Epsilonproteobacteria; Campylobacterales; Campylobacteraceae.
CAAAUUGAGAGUUUGAUCCUGGCUCAGGAUGAACGCUGGCGGCGUGCCUAAUACAUGCAAGUCGAACGCUUUGUGGUUCAACUGAUUUGAAGAGCUUGCUCAGAUAUGAYGAUGRACAUUGCAAAGAGUGGCGAACGGGUGAGUAACACGUGGGAAACCUACCUCUUAGCAGGGGAUAACAUUUGGAAACAGAUGCUAAUACCGUAUAACAAUAGCAACCGCAUGGUUGCUACUUAAAAGAUGGUUCUGCUAUCACUAAGAGAUGGUCCCGCGGUGCAUUAGUUAGUUGGUGAGGUAAUGGCUCACCAAGACGAUGAUGCAUAGCCGAGUUGAGAGACUGAUCGGCCACAAUGGGACUGAGACACGGCCCAUACUCCUACGGGAGGCAGCAGUAGGGAAUCUUCCACAAUGGGCGAAAGCCUGAUGGAGCAACGCCGCGUGUGUGAUGAAGGGUUUCGGCUCGUAAAACACUGUUGUAAGAGAAGAAUGACAUUGAGAGUAACUGUUCAAUGUGUGACGGUAUCUUACCAGAAAGGAACGGCUAAAUACGUGCCAGCAGCCGCGGUAAUACGUAUGUUCCAAGCGUUAUCCGGAUUUAUUGGGCGUAAAGCGAGCGCAGACGGUUAUUUAAGUCUGAAGUGAAAGCCCUCAGCUCAACUGAGGAAUUGCUUUGGAAACUGGAUGACUUGAGUGC